GUUUGAAAAUGUGGCGAGGUUGAUGCAGUGAGAUUAAUCCUUCGCGAUGUCACGUGACUCAGAAGUCCCGCAAACUAUGUUUUUUUUUAUUAUUACUUAAUUUGUACUUUACAAUUUGUCAAGCUGGGCAUUUGGUAAAUUUUCCUAACUUAAUCGCUGAAUAACAUGUGCAUGGCUACAUGCACAGCAGGGUACCAUCUUCGAGUUUGGCUAUUUUAUUUCUUCAAUGAGGUCAGUGAGGUGUUUCCUUUUUAGUCUUCUUGCUGUGAGAGACGUAUACUAUGUGUAUACCUAUAUUUCAAGAAUUUUAUUUGAUUGCGUUACUAUAAUCCUAUCCAACAGUCCCAUUUUCCAUCCGGUUAUACAUUCCACGUAAUGUUAAAAAAUGUCUCGAGCUGGAGCAAAUAUGAGAAAAUUAUUGUUGGUAAACUUCCUACUCAUACACAUAGAUUCAACAAUUCGUUAAAG
Molecule: unclassified non-coding RNA, 468 nt
Filed under: Bombus terrestris (buff-tailed bumblebee)
Lineage: Eukaryota; Metazoa; Arthropoda; Insecta; Hymenoptera; Apidae
Description: misc RNA ENSBTSG00005034681.1
Source: RNAcentral